This is an RNA transcript of Malania oleifera, 2348 nucleotides long. RefSeq lists it as uncharacterized. The transcript has 3 exons. Lineage: Eukaryota; Viridiplantae; Streptophyta; Magnoliopsida; Santalales; Ximeniaceae. The record is from RefSeq and is a predicted model, not a curated record.
AAUUAAAAUAAAAUUAAAAUUGGAAAAAAUUUCAAACCUUUAAUUCCAAAAAAAUAAAAUGCCAAACCAAAAUCAAAUCGAAAAAUAAUUAAUCGAUUUUUUACUUCGAUUUUAUAGUUUGAUUUGAUCUUUCUGGCUUUAGAUUUUUCUUGCCCACCACUGCUUGCUCCCUCUACCGCCAUACAGCAUAUCGCCCGCAUUCGGCAUUCGCACAACAAGGCAGAUUGCGGAUCCUCAUUCUGCAGUCGCAGAUCGCUUUACGCCGGCACUCGCGAGUAAUCCUACCACAAACCUCCUGGCUGCCCGCACUAAACCUCAAUUCUUCUGUAUAAUCAUUCGGGCACACCUGAUGCAAGUGGGUUAUAGCGGCAAGUAAUUCUCUUUCAUUGCAGCAACCCUGAAUGAAUAUGCUGCUGAUGUUGCUGAAAAGAAGAAAUGCAGUCGCGUCUUCAGUGGUGAGCUCUUUCGUAUGUUCAAGGUUCUGUAGUUUUUGCACGGGGGACUCUAAGAUUGUUGAUAAGGAUCACGAAACUGCCCAGGUGUUGGUUAGUCAGAGUACCAGUGUCACUUCUUCAGAUUAUUCUAGCAGGUUACAUCUUUCACCAUUGUUUUCCAGUGAAAGGCUUCAUACGGGCAGAUAUGAUAUUGAGCUUGUGGACCCUGAUACUUGGCGGGUUUCAUCAGGUUUAGUGGAGGCAUGGAGAGGUGCAUAUGGGGCACUGGAAAGAAGAUCUGCAUCUGAAGAAGAUAUUGAUGAUGCAGCCAAUUGCUGCACUCGCUGUGAGGAUGACCCAGACUUUGAUGAGAUUGAGGAUAUGAGAAUUCACGGCCAUCUUUUUUAUAAAUUAGAUAGGGAUUCAAAAGAGUUCGAAGAGUACAAUUUCAAUUUUCACCGGAAGAAAUCUUUGAGGAAUAAAAAUAAGGAGAAUUUAAAUUGUAAUGUGGCUUCCGGAAGUGAAAGAUCUGUGAAGAAUAAGGAUAAGCGGGAGGACAGGACAAAGAAGAAAGGCUCCGAUCAAAACUUGUCUUCUAGUAGUGAAGAAAUUCCAAAAUUUGUAAAGAGCAGAUCUUCUUCUCUAUUUAAUGAAACAGGGAGUUCUUAUGUUGGGGAAAAGAAGUUGAGGACUCCCACUUUUAAUCAACUUACUGCGCCCUACCAUGAACCAUUUUGCUUGGACAUUUUCAUAUCGAAAAGCUCGAUUCGUGCCUGCAUUAUUCAUAGAGUGACAAGCAAGGUUGUGGCUGUGGCACAUUCCAUUUCUAAGGACAUGAAAUUCGACCUGGCCUCACCUAAGGAUUCGACUGCUUGUGCUGCUGUGGGCGCAGUUCUCUCUCAGAGAGCAUUGGCUGAUGAUAUCCAUGAUGUGGUAUACACACCAAGAAAAGGGGAGAAAUUAGAGGGGAAGCUACAGACCGUGCUUCGGUCAAUCAUUGAUAAUGGUGUUAAUGUGAAGGUGAAGAUCAAGCAAAGAAAAGCCAAGAAAGCUGUUGACUUUCUUGCAGUUUAGGAGCAUGCAAUUUGAUUGGCUGUGAUUUUAUAGACAAUGCUGUGAGGAUUUCAAUGGCAAAGAAAUAGUAAGAUUCUUCUGCCCUGCAGGGGCUAUGAUGGUGAUGCACAAUUCAUGUGCUUCACUUUGUUCAAUGAUUUCUACAAGAAAAAUUAUUGCAGCUAUUGCAACUCCAAAGAAGUUCUCAGAUUUCAAAAUUUUAUUCAGCUUUCCUCCGUCAUUCAGAAUCAUGGCAAGCAAAGGUGAAGGUGAUCGAAAGGAACCCAUGAAUGAACAAAUGGUGGCCAACUGAUAUGGUGCUAUGAGGGCGGAACUCACCCAAAUAUAUUCGAAAAUCACGGAGUUAGAUAUGGGAGUGAGUGAGCACUCGUUGGUUAUUGGAGCUAUUGAGCUGCUUGAUCUAUCCCGGCGGUGCUAUCGGAUUAUUGGAGGUGUGCUGGUGGAGAGAAACAUUUAGGAAAUCCUUCCAGCCGUCCAGCACAAUAAAGAGGGCCUCGAAGAAGUGGUUGGAAGGCUUAAUGAGGCCUUAGAGAAGAAGAUGAAGGACAUAGCCGAGUUUGAGGCUAAAUACAAAAUUCAGAUGAGAAAAUCUGAUGAUGAGGUAAAGGAGGAUAGCAGCCGGAAGGAAGGUUCUGCACAGGGAGUUCUUGUUGGCCCAGCAAGUUGAAGCCCAUGUAAAUGUUUUUGUUCCAUCUUUAUUCAACAGAACGUGCAAGACAGAAUGUGUUUAGUUUCCCUUUGAUGGUGUAUUGAGUUGUUUAGAAAAGGUUGUUUGGCAUAAUGAGGAUAUCUGACUGACAAAUUUUCUUGAAUAUGAGGUGCUUCAUGCAUUUCUCUCUC